This 460-nucleotide ribosomal RNA is filed under the name uncultured Anoxybacillus sp. RNAcentral describes it as "bacterial SSU rRNA". It matches the Rfam family "Bacterial small subunit ribosomal RNA", at positions 923 to 1382 of the family's 1533-position model. The record is from RNAcentral. Lineage: Bacteria; Bacillati; Bacillota; Bacilli; Caryophanales; Anoxybacillaceae.
GCACAAGCGGUGGAGCAUGUGGUUAAUUCGAAGCAACGCGAAGAACCUUACCAGGUCUUGACAUCCCCUGACAACCCGAGAGAUCGGGCGUUCCCCCUUCGGGGGACAGGGUGACAGGUGGUGCAUGGUUGUCGUCAGCUCGUGUCGUGAGAUGUUGGGUUAAGUCCCGCAACGAGCGCAACCCUCGACCUUAGUUGCCAGCAUUCAGUUGGGCACUCUAAGGUGACUGCCGGCUAAAAGUCGGAGGAAGGUGGGGAUGACGUCAAAUCAUCAUGCCCCUUAUGACCUGGGCUACACACGUGCUACAAUGGGCGGUACAAAGGGUCGCGAACCCGCGAGGGGGAGCCAAUCCCAAAAAGCCGCUCUCAGUUCGGAUUGCAGGCUGCAACUCGCCUGCAUGAAGCCGGAAUCGCUAGUAAUCGCGGAUCAGCAUGCCGCGGUGAAUACGUUCCCGGGCCUU